This 572-nucleotide long non-coding RNA is filed under the name Anas platyrhynchos platyrhynchos (common mallard). Its description in RNAcentral is "lncRNA (ENSAPLG00000025428.1)". The record is from RNAcentral. Lineage: Eukaryota; Metazoa; Chordata; Aves; Anseriformes; Anatidae.
UUAGAUCUGGUGAGCAGCUGAAGUACCAGAGCUGGGAAGAGAGAGGUCUUGCAGCAGGUACGCUGUGGCUGUGAGGUGCCUCAGAGUGUGCUUUUCUCUUGUCUCUGCAGGUGCUUUGUGCAGCUGUAGACAGGGAAGGGAAAUCCUCAUGUCACGAAGCUCUGAGGGAAGGUGAGUGGUGUCAGCCUGGUCAUCCCUUAUCCGAAGCAAAGGGAAGACGCUCAGGUGUUUCCCUGUGAGGGUCCGAGGUGGCGUGGGUGAUGCUGGCCGUUCCUUUCAAGCUUGGACCUACUUUUCAGGUACAGAGGCUGAAAUGCAGUGUGUAGUGCGCAGUGCAGGAUGUGUCAACCCGAGCUGCCUCUUCAGUGACUCUGGUGGUGUGGAUGAUACUGGUUGCACUGUUGGAGCUUGGAUUUGGAGAGGAAGAGCUGAUGAUGAGCCUGGCAAUUGACUAAGAUGACAAUGGGUGACUGUGCAUUUCUUGAGGCGGAGGGACUUUACCAUGCAGCAACCUGAGAGCUAAGUUGGGGGGGCACCUGGUAUUUGCAUAUCUGGGGUGGCUAAUGGGAGCU